RNAcentral lists this ribosomal RNA (800 nucleotides) under uncultured bacterium. Its description in RNAcentral is "bacterial SSU rRNA". It matches the Rfam family "Bacterial small subunit ribosomal RNA", at positions 8 to 856 of the family's 1533-position model. The record is from RNAcentral.
AGAGUUUGAUCCUGGCUCAGAACGAACGCUGGCGGCAGGCCUAACACAUGCAAGUCGAGCGCCCCGCAAGGGGAGCGGCGGACGGGUGAGUAACACGUGGGAAUUUUCCUCAAGGUACGGAACAACUCAGGGAAACUUGGGCUAAUACCGUAUGAUGCAGAGAUGCCAAAGAUUUAUCGCCUUGGGAUAAGCCCGCGUCAGAUUAGGUAGUUGGUGGGGUAAUGGCCUACCAAGCCUGUGAUCUGUAGCUGGUCUGAGAGGACGAUCAGCCACAUUGGGACUGAGACACGGCCCAAACUCCUACGGGAGGCAGCAGUGGGGAAUCUUGCGCAAUGGACGAAAGUCUGACGCAGCCAUGCCGCGUGAAUGAUGAAGGUCUUAGGAUUGUAAAGUUCUUUAGCCUGUGACGAUGAUGACGGUAACAGGAGAAUAAGCCCCGGCUAACUUCGUGCCAGCAGCCGCGGUAAUACGAAGGGGGCUAGCGUUGUUUGGAAUUACUGGGCGUAAAGCGCGCGUAGGCGGUUUUACAAGCCAGAGGUGAAAUGCCUGAGCUCAACUUAGGAAUUGCCUUUGGAACUGUAUGGCUUUGAGGACGAGAGAGGUGAGUGGAAUUCCCAGUGUAGAGGUGAAAUUCGUAGAUAUUGGGAAGAACACCGGUGGCGAAGGCGGCUCACUGGCUCGUUUCUGACGCUGUAGCGCGAAAGCGUGGGGAUCAAACAGGAUUAGAUACCCUGGUAGUCCACGCUGUAAACGAUGAGUGCUAGGCGUCGGCACGCUUGCGUGUCGGUGCCGCAGCUAAC